CAAUUCGUUGAUAACACCCCCCUCUGUGAACACGUUACCCUGUUGCUUCCCGUGGGCCCGCCUCCCCUGGGGGGCGGAACCCGCCCGCGGGGAGGUCCGCAACUGAAACCCCUUUUGUUUUUGUCAUGCCGUCUCUAGUCUGAAUCGAAAAACCAGAAACGUUAAAACUUUCAACAACGGAUCUCUUGGUUCUCGCAUCGAUGAAGAACGCAGCGAAAUGCGAUAAGUAGUGUGAAUUGCAGAAUUCAGUGAAUCAUCGAAUCUUUGAACGCACAUUGCGCCUCCUGGUAUUCCGGGAGGCAUGCCUGUUCGAGCGUCAUUAAAACCCACUCAGGUCCCCUUUGGGGGUUCUGGUCGUGGAGGAGCAGCCGCGAGGCGAGCCCCUCCGAAAUCCAUCGUGCGGAAAGCCCCCGGUGGCCCAGGCGUAGUAAAACUUCUUUCUCUCGUCUGGCGUCCGUCGAGCGUUCCUGCCGUCAACCCCCCCACAGUCUUCUU
Molecule: ribosomal RNA, 495 nt
Filed under: fungal sp. 21.31
Lineage: Eukaryota; Fungi
Description: eukaryotic LSU rRNA
Rfam family: 5.8S ribosomal RNA (bases 166-319)
Source: RNAcentral